RNAcentral lists this ribosomal RNA (1355 nucleotides) under uncultured bacterium. Its description in RNAcentral is "bacterial SSU rRNA". It matches the Rfam family "Bacterial small subunit ribosomal RNA", at positions 28 to 1381 of the family's 1533-position model. The record is from RNAcentral.
GAUGAACGCUGGCGGCGUGCUUAACACAUGCAAGUCGAACGGGGUUUGUACGACGGAAGCCUUCGGGCAGAAGAUGUACAAACCUAGUGGCGGACGGGUGAGUAACGCGUGGGUAACCUACCUUAUAUAGGGGAAUAACAGUGAGAAAUCAUUGCUAAUACCGCAUAAGACCCCAGCACCGCAUGGUGCAGCGGUAAAAGAUUUAUCGAUAUAAGAUGGACCCGCGUCCCAUUAGCUAGUUGGUGAGGUAACUGCUUACCAAGGCGACGAUGGGUAGCCGACCUGAGAGGGUGACCGGCCACAUUGGGACUGAGACACGGCCCAAACUCCUACGGGAGGCAGCAGUGGGGAAUAUUGGACAAUGGGGGCAACCCUGAUCCAGCGACGCCGCGUGAGUGAAGAAGUAUUUCGGUAUGUAAAGCUCUAUCAGCAGGGAAGAAAAUUGACGGUACCUGACUAAGAAGCCCCGGCUAACUACGUGCCAGCAGCCGCGGUAAUACGUAGGGGGCAAGCGUUAUCCGGAUUUACUGGGUGUAAAGGGAGCGUAGACGGUUAAGUAAGUCUGAAGUGAAAACCCGAGGCUCAACCACGGGACUGCUUUGGAAACUAUUUAACUAGAGUGUCGGAGAGGUAAGCGGAAUUCCUAGUGUAGCGGUGAAAUGCGUAGAUAUUAGGAGGAACACCAGCGGCGAAGGCGGCUUACUGGACGAUAACUGACGUUAAGGCUCGAAGGCGUGGGUAGCAAACAGGAUUAGAUACCCUGGUAGUCCACGCAGUAAACGAUGAAUACUAGGUGUCGGGAGGUAAUCCUUUCGGUGCCGUCGCAAACGCAAUAAGUAUUCCACCUGGGGAGUACGUUUCGCAAGAAUGAAACUCAAAGGAAUUGACGGGGAACCCGCACAAGCGGUGGAGCAUGUGGUUUAAUUCGAAGCAACGCGAAGAACCUUACCAAAUCUUGACAUGCCGAUGACAGACAAGUAAUGUUGUUUUUCCUUCGGGACAUCGGACACAGGUGGUGCAUGGUUGUCGUCAGCUCGUGUCGUGAGAUGUUGGGUUAAGUCCCGCAACGAGCGCAACCCUUGUCCUUAGUAGCUAGCAGUUUGGCUGAGCACUCUAGGGAGACUGCCAAGGAUAACUUGGAGGAAGGUGGGGACGACGUCAAAUCAUCAUGCCCCUUAUGAUUUGGGCUACACACGUGCUACAAUGGCGUAAACAAAGAGAAGCAAAAUCGCAAGGUCAAGCAAAUCUCAAAAAUAACGUCUCAGUUCGGGUUGUAGUCUGCAACUCGACUACAUGAAGCUGGAAUCGCUAGUAAUCGCAGAUCAGAACGCUGCGGUGAAUACGUUCCCGGGUCU